Molecule: long non-coding RNA, 809 nt
Filed under: Durio zibethinus
Lineage: Eukaryota; Viridiplantae; Streptophyta; Magnoliopsida; Malvales; Malvaceae
Description: long non-coding RNA (DZIB_LNC000977)
Source: RNAcentral
UAUUCAUAAAUGAAUGAAAAAGUUGAAUGAAUGGUCCUUAAAAGAGUUCGAUUUGGAAUGGGAAGAAUGUGUCCAUUUCGAAUGGCUGGUGAUUUCUGGUGUUGUGGUCCAAUUUGCUGCCUGCCCCCUUUCCUCCAAUCUCCCCAAAUUCUUCAUUCUCUUCUUCUUGUACUUCUCUCAAAGCUAAUAUUAGUUGUUGUGCCCAGCUCCGAGCUGAAAUAAUCCUGAAAAUUAUAAGAGGAGGAGAGCAACUAGAAGCAAAGACAGAAAGUGUUUUCUGUGGAAAAGAAAAAGAAUUAGAGAUCAAAUGAAAUGAAAAGAUAAUAAUCGGAUGUCAAUAUUUAUAGACAGAAGAUGAAAGAUUUAUAGAAGAUCACAAUGACAUAAUCAAACUGAUGUGAUAUUGAAUAUAUCAGGUCAAUUUAAUAUAUCAGAUCAAUUCAAAUAUUUAAAAUGUCAUUGAUUUUAUGUUGAUAAUUUCUAAUAAUAAAAGAAAAAGACAACAAUGUCCUUUUAACCAAUAAAUGCUCGUGACAACUAGCAAUAGCAAGUAUCCACCGCCCCAUUUUUUUCUUCUUUUCAAGCAAUUAGAUGAAUGAGUAACGAAUGUCUGAAGAUGGAGUAAGGUUGAAACUGAGAUCUGAGAGUGACUUAUAUCCAUCUCUAAUUCUUAUGUCUAGAUUUGUUUUCUGGUGCCGACGUCUGCGGCACCUAAACCUGUUUUAGUACGAGCAAUUGACGUGUGAUUUGUGUAUAAAUUCACAUUCGAGAAAACAACUGCGUAACAAACUAAACAUUCCAAAAGAAUU